AUUGAACGCUGGCGGAAUGCUUUACACAUGCAAGUCGAACGGCAGCACGGGAGCUUGCUCCUGGUGGCGAGUGGCGAACGGGUGAGUAAUGCGUCGGAACGUACCGAGUAAUGGGGGAUAACGCAGCGAAAGCUGUGCUAAUACCGCAUACGCCCUGAGGGGGAAAGUGGGGGAUCGCAAGACCUCACGUUAUUCGAGCGGCCGACGUCUGAUUAGCUAGUUGGUGGGGUAAUGGCCUACCAAGGCGACGAUCAGUAGCGGGUCUGAGAGGAUGAUCCGCCACACUGGAACUGAGACACGGUCCAGACCCCUACGGGAGGCAGCAGUGGGGAAUUUUGGACAAUGGGGGCAACCCUGAUCCAGCCAUUCCGCGUGAGUGAAGAAGGCCUUCGGGCUGUAAAGCUCUUUCAGCUGGAACGAAACGGUACGCUCUAACAUAGCGUGCUAAUGACGGUACCGGCAGAAGAAACACCGGCUAACUACGUGCCAGCAGCCGCGGUAAUACGUAGGGUGCGAGCGUUAAUCGGAAUUACUGGGCGUAAAGCGUGCGCAGGCGGAUUGUUAAGCAAGAUGUGAAAUCCCCGGGCUUAACCUGGGAAUGGCAUUUUGAACUGGCAGUCUAGAGUGCGUCAGAGGGGGGUGGAAUUCCACGUGUAGCAGUGAAAUGCGUAGAGAUGUGGAGGAACACCAAUGGCGAAGGCAGCCCCCUGGGAUGACACUGACGCUCAUGUACGAAANCGUGGGUAGCAAACAGGAUUAGAUACCCUGGUAGUCCACGCCCUAAACGAUGUCAACUGGUUGUUGGGGGAGUGAAAUCCCUUAGUAACGAAGCUAACGCGUGAAGUUGACCGCCUGGGGGGUACGGUCGCAAGAUUAAAACUCAAAGGAAUUGACGGGGGCCCGCACAAGCGGAGGAACAUGUGGUUUAAUUCGAUGAUACGCGAGGAACCUUACCUGGGCUUAAAUGUAGAGUGCAUGAAGUGGAAACAUUUCUUUCCUUCGGGACUCUUUGCAAGGUGCUGCAUGGUUGUCGUCAGCUCGUGCCGUGAGGUGUCGGGUUAAGUCCCAUAACGAGCGCAACCCUUAUCGUUAGUUGCCAGCGGGUAAUGCCGGGAACUCUAACGAAACUGCCGGUGUAAACCGUGAGGAAGGUGGGGAUGACGUCAAAUCAGCACGGCCCUUAUGUCCAGGGCUACACACGUGUUACAAUGGCCGGUACAGAGGGCAGCUACCUGGAGACAGGAUGCGAAUCUCCAAAGCCGGUCUCAGUUCGGAUCGGAGUCUGCAACUCGACUCCGUGAAGCUAGAUUCGCUAGUAAUCGCGCAUCAGCCAUGGCGCGGUGAAUACGUUCCCGGGCCU
RNAcentral lists this ribosomal RNA (1360 nucleotides) under uncultured soil bacterium. RNAcentral describes it as "bacterial SSU rRNA". It matches the Rfam family "Bacterial small subunit ribosomal RNA", at positions 28 to 1381 of the family's 1533-position model. The record is from RNAcentral.